This 2767-nucleotide unclassified non-coding RNA is filed under the name Hevea brasiliensis (rubber tree). The record is from RNAcentral. Lineage: Eukaryota; Viridiplantae; Streptophyta; Magnoliopsida; Malpighiales; Euphorbiaceae.
CGAAGUUCGGUAAUUCAUUAAGUAUACUAUGGGAUCAUGUUAUGUCUUACAGAAUGGUAAGGUGUGACAAAAUAUUUCUAUAUACACCUAUCAUCACUUUAAGCAGUAUUUUGAUCAAAGGUCAUCAAGAAUCUCUGCAUGCUCAAUUGGUGUCGCUUCGCUACAAAAUACUUCAUCCCAUAUCUUGACAAUAUCUGCUCAGAAGGUAAUCAAAUCAGGAUGCUUCAAUAUCCAAUGCUGAACUUACAAGGCACAAAUAUACAACUAAUCCCCAAUAUUGAGCUAACUGUGCAUGUAUGCAUGGAAAGUGCAUGGACACAAAUAAAUGGACAGAAAAUAUUGACAAGGAUCUGUGGAGAAAUGGAAACACCAAAAAAUGCCAUCUCAAAGUGCACUCCCACAUACACCACGAAGCUAUGUAAAGUUGUAAACACUAAAUAAGCAAGUUCAUGUUAGAAAGCCAAACAGAAGGUUAAGAAAUAAUUUUCUGUCAGCAUAUAAUAAGACAUACCACCCUUAUCUGCAGCUGAAAGAUACAUGAUAAGCAUGUCGAAUUUCCUACAUGCUUGACAGCCAAAUUCAUAUAAUCCCUGCCAAAGGAUUAAAACCAAAGAGAAUUCAGACUUCAACAAGCUUAAACAGAAUGCCCAUUUAUCCCAACAUCAACAACAGGAAAAUCUACUUAAAUGAAAAAAGUGGCAACACACUUAAUGAUAUCAAUUAGCAUGGGGGCAUACAACGCAUUUUUGGAUAUCUGUGGUAAUGCACUUGGAGAUGUGGCCUUUUGAUCACUUCAGCCUCUGCCCUCUGGAAACCAUCCAAAAUAUAAGUAUAGUCAGGCCAAGAUCAUGCAAUGACUGUGCUUGUCAGCUGCAGGAUGUCUGUCAAAAGAAGGGGCCAGAUUUUGUAUUGUUGAUUGUCCUUCAAGAGGCGAGUCUGCAAUGCACGAUCACCAGAAAAACCUCGCCAAGCAACCUCAAAUUGAUAAGCUGAAUUUGGAGGGGUGAUGUUUUUUGCUGCUUCAGCCGUGGCACGAGAAGCUGCUCGAGAAGCAAGCUCUUCUACUGAAGCCUUGAGCUUUUGCUUUUCCAUUUUGUGAUGAUAUCUCUGCAAAAGCUUAACUGAUAAAGUGAGUGCGGGACAAAUCAAUUGAUUUAAGGUAGGCAUACUCUUUUCUUUGUCCCUAUCCCCAGUUUUCACCCUAUUAAUAGUGAUUACUCCUAAUCUGAAAAGAAAAUAAAGCGCAGGUGCAAAUGCAAUGAUAUGAAGGUGAAAUACUUGCAAUGAGGACAAACAUAACCAUUGUCUGACCUUUUGCUUUAUCAAGCACUAAAAGAAAAAACACCACAAUGGAGGGAAGUCAAUAUUUGCAGGAUCUACUUGAGAAAAACACUUACAGAUGACAAUCUCAUUAGGUACUCAAGACAAAAGCUCGUAUCCCUCAGGAAAAAGAUAAAAAUGUAGAUAAUACUUAAGCAAGGAUACCAUGCAUUACCUGGACACUGUCCAUAUGAGAAUUUGAAGUAGCAUUGGUAUAAGAAACAUUGGCUUGAUUUUCAGUUCUGCUUCCGGCUCUUGAGCUUUUGUUUUUUAUUUCCUCCACUGAUGAGGACUUCUUAAGGAUAACCUCUCCAACACUUUCCUUAUUCUUGUCCUUUUGACAUGUAGAUACACCAGUUCUUUGACUUCCACUUGAGACAGAAUUGACAUCAUGUCCAUUAAUUUUUGCCUCCAAAAUUCCUCCUUUCUGUGUUCCAUGCUCAGAGCUUCUUACUGCCCCAGAUACCUUAUGGAGAAUCUCCUUCUCAUACAAUGAUUUGACAUCAGUAUACAGCUUCUUGAUUUCCUGGUUAUUAGGUUCCAACCUCAAGGCAAACUCUGAAUCCUCAAUGGACUCUUUAAAUCUUCCCAAUUCCUUUCUAGCUGUUGCUCGGCGUGAGUAUGCCUUUAUGUAGCGAUCAUCCAGAUUUAAAGCCUCUGUACAGUCAUUCUCAGCUUCUUGAAAUUUUCUGAUUUUAAGAUAGGCCAUUGCCCUAUUUGCAUAGGCUACUGCUGUGGGAGACAAGGCUAUGCUUCUCGAAUAGCAUUCAAUAGCUUCCUUAAACUUUUUCUGCUUAAAGUACUCAUUACCCAAUUCUUUCUCUGAAGCAGCAUCCACAGAGCUUUCUUCAGUCAUGAAACUACUUGAUAUACGAUCAAUAGCAUCAAAGUUCCUUGAAUAAUCAUGUUGUCCUGAACUACCUCUUGAAGAAUCAACUGCAUAAGUGUUUCCUGCUGAUCUUCUACCCUCACCAGUCUUCUUGUCAGAAGCUGGUGGCUUCAUCUUUUUAUCCCUAUCCUUGAGCGAAAGUUCCCAAUCCUGCAAGUCAUUCAAAAACCCCUGGAAAUCCUGGAAACGGGUAAACCAUGAACAACUGACGACAGCAAUUAAGCCAAUAGGAACACCAAUCUCAAAAAAACUACUGAACCCACUAAAACUCUAAACUUAAAACCCACAAAUGCUGAUACAAUAGCUCGUUUCACAUGUAAAGGACUCAAAAAAGAUUAAGCCUUUGUCCUCCUCGGAUGAGAAAAUUUUCGUUUCCUUUCCUAUUUUGCUCUUUCAUCAGCAACCAAACAGAGCUUAAAGUAAAAUGGAACUAAACGAAAUUAACGUACCAGAGCUUGAUCACGUCCAUGCUUGCUCGGAACCCUAGCCAUGGGUGAGAAAGGGAGAGAAAGAGAGUUGCGUCCCCAGCUGCCGGUGAGCGCGUUGUUUUUAGGUGUU